UCCAGACUCCUACGGGAGGCAGCAGUGAGGAAUAUUGGUCAAUGGGCGCGAGCCUGAACCAGCCAAGUCGCGUGAGGGAGGACGGCCCUACGGGUUGUAAACCUCUUUUGCCGGGGAGCAACGGGCGCCACGUGUGGCGUCACUGAGAGUACCCGGAGAAAAAGCAUCGGCUAACUCCGUGCCAGCAGCCGCGGUAAUACGGAGGAUGCGAGCGUUAUCCGGAUUUAUUGGGUUUAAAGGGUGCGUAGGCGGAAUGCCAAGUCAGCGGUAAAAUCGGGGGGCUCAACCUCGCUCCGCCGUUGAAACUGGCGUUCUUGAGUGGGCGAGAAGUAUGCGGAAUGCGUGGUGUAGCGGUGAAAUGCAUAGAUAUCACGCAGAACUCCGAUUGCGAAGGCAGCAUACCGGCGCCCAACUGACGCUGAAGCACGAAAGCGUGGGUAUCGAACAGGAUUAGAUACCCUGGUA
RNAcentral lists this ribosomal RNA (465 nucleotides) under uncultured bacterium. RNAcentral's name for it is "bacterial SSU rRNA". It matches the Rfam family "Bacterial small subunit ribosomal RNA", at positions 330 to 792 of the family's 1533-position model. The record is from RNAcentral.